RNAcentral lists this ribosomal RNA (490 nucleotides) under uncultured bacterium. RNAcentral's name for it is "bacterial SSU rRNA". It matches the Rfam family "Bacterial small subunit ribosomal RNA", at positions 28 to 509 of the family's 1533-position model. The record is from RNAcentral.
GACGAACGCUGGCGGCGUGGAUUAGGCAUGCAAGUCGAACGGUAGGAUACCUUCGGGUAUCUGAGAGUGGCGAACGGGUGAGUAACACGUAGGUGAUCUACCCUCAAGAUUGGGACAACCCAGGGAAACUUGGGCUAAUACCGGAUGAAAGCAGCAGUGAUGUUGUUUGAAAGGUGGCGUAAGCUGCCGUUUGGGGAUGAGCCUGCGCUCUAUUAGUUAGUUGGCGGGGUAAAGGCCCACCAAGGCGAUGAUAGAUAGGCGGCCUUAACGGGUGGUCGCCCACACUGGGAUUGAGAUACGGCCCAGACUCCUACGGGAGGCAGCAGUCGAGAAUAGUCUACAAUGGCCGAAAGGCUGAUAGUGCGACGCCGCGUGAACGAAGAAGCCCCUUGGGGUGUAAAGUUCUUUUAUAUGUGAGCAGUGCUUUCUAUGUGAACAGCAUGGGGAGAGAGAUAUUAGCAUAUGAAUAAGCAACGGCUAACUCCGUGCC